Molecule: ribosomal RNA, 252 nt
Filed under: uncultured bacterium
Lineage: Bacteria
Description: partial 16S ribosomal RNA
Rfam family: Bacterial small subunit ribosomal RNA
Source: RNAcentral
UACGUAAGGUCCGAGCGUUGUCCGGAUUUAUUGGGCGUAAAGGGAACGUAGGUGGUUAGUAAAGUUAGAAGUGAAAGGCUGUAGCUCAACUAUAGUAUGCUUUUCAAACUGUUUAACUUGAGAGAUGGAAGGGAAAGUGGAAUUCCAUGUGUAGCGGUGAAAUGCGUAGAUAUAUGGAGGAACACCAGUGGCGAAGGCGGCUCUCUGGUUUGUAACUGACGCUGAGGCUCGAAAGCGAGGGGAGCAAACAGG